This 406-nucleotide ribosomal RNA is filed under the name uncultured bacterium. Its description in RNAcentral is "partial 16S ribosomal RNA". It matches the Rfam family "Bacterial small subunit ribosomal RNA", at positions 30 to 526 of the family's 1533-position model. The record is from RNAcentral.
AUUGAACGCUGGCGGCAGGCCUAACACAUGCAAGUCGAACGAGUGGCGGACGGGUGAGUAAUGUCUGGGAAACUGCCCGAUGGAGGGGGAUAACUACUGGAAACGGUAGCUAAUACCGCAUACCAUCAGAUGUGCCCAGAUGGGAUUAGCUAGUAGGUGGGGUAACGGCUCACCUAGGCGACGAUCCCUAGCUGGUCUGAGAGGAUGACCAGCAACAAGGUAACGGAGACACGGUCCAGACUCCUACGGGAGGCAGCAGUGGGGAAUAUUGAACAAUGGGCGAAAGCCUGAGGCAGCCAUGCCGCGUGUAUGAAGAAGGCCUUCGGGUUGUAAAGUACUUUCAGCGGGGAGGCGUUACCCGCAGAAGAAGCACCGGCUAACUCCGUGCCAGCCGCCGCGGUAAUUC